GGAAAAGAAACUAACAAGGAUUCCCCUAGUAACGGCGAGUGAACCGGGAAGAGCUCAAAUUUGAAAUCUGGCGUGCUCAGUGCGUCCGAGUUGUAAUCUAUAGAGUCGUUUUCCGUGCCGGACUGUGUCCAAGUCCCUUGGAACAGGGUAUCAAAGAGGGUGAUAAUCCCGUACUUGACACAAUGACCGGUGCUCUGUGAUACGUCUUCUACGAGUCGAGUUGUUUGGGAAUGCAGCUCAAAAUGGGUGGUGAGUUCCAUCUAAAGCUAAAUAUUGGCGAGAGACCGAUAGCGAACAAGUACCGUGAGGGAAAGAUGAAAAGCACUUUGGAAAGAGAGUUAAACAGUACGUGAAAUUGUUAAAAGGGAAACGAUUGAAGUCAGUCGUGACUGAGAGGCUCAGCCGGUUCUGCCGGUGUAUUCCCCUCAGUCGGGUCAACAUCAGUUUUGUUCGGUGGAUAAGGGCGGUUGGAAGGUGGCACCCUCGGGUGUGUUAUAGCCAACUGUCGCAUACAUCGGAUGAGACUGAGGAAUGCAGCUCGCCUUUAUGGCCGGGGUUCGCCCACGUUCGAGCUUAGGAUGUUGACAUAAUGGCUUUAAACGACCCGUC
Molecule: ribosomal RNA, 609 nt
Filed under: Papiliotrema laurentii
Lineage: Eukaryota; Fungi; Basidiomycota; Tremellomycetes; Tremellales; Rhynchogastremaceae
Also listed under: 1 other name
Description: eukaryotic LSU rRNA
Rfam family: Eukaryotic large subunit ribosomal RNA
Source: RNAcentral